UACGUAGGGUGCGAGCGUUGUCCGGAAUUAUUGGGCGUAAAGGGCUCGUAGGCGGUCUGUUGCGUCAGGAGUGAAAAACUCGGGGGCUUAACCCCCGAGCCUGCUUCUGAUACGGGCAGACUAGAGGUAUGCAGGGGAGAACGGAAUUCCUGGUGUAGCGGUGAAAUGCGCAGAUAUCAGGAAGAACACCAAUGGCGAAGGCAGCUCUCUGGGACGGUACUGACGCUGAGACGCGAAAGCGUGGGGAGCGAACAGG
RNAcentral lists this ribosomal RNA (256 nucleotides) under uncultured bacterium. RNAcentral's name for it is "partial 16S ribosomal RNA". It matches the Rfam family "Bacterial small subunit ribosomal RNA", at positions 524 to 776 of the family's 1533-position model. The record is from RNAcentral.